GACGAACGCUGGCGGCGCGCCUAACACAUGCAAGUCGAACGAGCGAGAGAGAGCUUGCUUUCUCGAGCGAGUGGCGAACGGGUGAGUAACGCGUGAGGAACCUGCCUCAAAGAGGGGGACAACAGUUGGAAACGACUGCUAAUACCGCAUAAGCCCACGGCUCGGCAUCGAGCAGAGGGAAAAGGAGUAAUCCGCUUUGAGAUGGCCUCGCGUCCGAUUAGCUAGUUGGUGAGGUAACGGCCCACCAAGGCGACGAUCGGUAGCCGGACUGAGAGGUUGAACGGCCACAUUGGGACUGAGACACGGCCCAGACUCCUACGGGAGGCAGCAGUGGGGAAUUUUGGACAAUGGGGGCAACCCUGAUCCAGCCAUGCCGCGUGCAGGAUGAAGGCCUCGGGUUGUAAACUGCUUUGUCAGGGACGAAAAGGAAUCGUGAUAAUACCAUGGUCUGCUGACGGUACCUGAAGAAUAAGCACCGGCUAACUACGUGCCAG
This 494-nucleotide ribosomal RNA is filed under the name uncultured bacterium. Its description in RNAcentral is "bacterial SSU rRNA". It matches the Rfam family "Bacterial small subunit ribosomal RNA", at positions 28 to 511 of the family's 1533-position model. The record is from RNAcentral.